UGCCACCGGAAAAAGAGGGUAUCUUGGAUAGGGACAGACAUUUUGCCUUGCAACAGGCCACCUACGGACCCCUCAGAGAGUUGUUGCAAGGGUUCUUAACGUGCAAUGAGCGUGGUACUCUCUUUACACGAGGCAUCGGAUUUAACGUCCCCCUUCUGACCGGACGUGACUGCGAACUUGAUACAUCCCGCACAGCCAAACGGACGCC
RNAcentral lists this long non-coding RNA (208 nucleotides) under Mytilus galloprovincialis (Mediterranean mussel). The record is from RNAcentral. Lineage: Eukaryota; Metazoa; Mollusca; Bivalvia; Mytilida; Mytilidae.